This 395-nucleotide ribosomal RNA is filed under the name uncultured bacterium. Its description in RNAcentral is "partial 16S ribosomal RNA". It matches the Rfam family "Bacterial small subunit ribosomal RNA", at positions 523 to 918 of the family's 1533-position model. The record is from RNAcentral.
AUACGUAGGGGGCAAGCGUUAAUCGGAAUUAUUGGGCGUAAAGCGUGCGCAGGCGGUUUUUUAAGACAGAUGUGAAAUCCCCGGGCUAAACCGGGGAACUGCCUUUGUGACUCACAGGCUAGCGUACGGGAGAGGGGGGUGGGAUUCCGCGUGUAGCAGUGAAAUGAGUAGAUAUACGGAGUAACAUCGAUGGCGAAGGCAUUUCCGUGGGCAUGUUCUGACUCUCAUGCACGAAAGCGUGGGGAGCAAACAGGUUUAGAUACCCUGGUAGUCCACGGCCUAAACGAUGUCAACUGGUUGUUGGGUCUUCAUUGACUCAGUAACGAAGCUAACGCGUUAAGUUGACCGCCUGGGGAGUACGGCCGCAAGGUUGAAACUCAAAGGAAUUGACGGGG